This 301-nucleotide ribosomal RNA is filed under the name uncultured bacterium. RNAcentral describes it as "partial 16S ribosomal RNA". It matches the Rfam family "Bacterial small subunit ribosomal RNA", at positions 509 to 807 of the family's 1533-position model. The record is from RNAcentral.
CAGUAGCCGCGGUAAAACGUAGGUGGCGAGCGUUGUCCGGAAUUAUUGGGCGUAAAGGGCAUGUAGGCGGUUUAGUAAGCCUGAUGUGAAAUCUACGAGCUUAACUCGUAAACUGCAUUGGGUACUGCUGAUCUUGAAUCAUAGAGGGGGAACUGGAAUUCCAAGUGUAGGGGUGGAAUCUGUAGAUAUUUGGAAGAACACCGGUGGCGAAGGCGGGUUUCUAGCUAAUGAUUGACGCUGAUAUGCGAAGGUGCGGGGAGCAAACAGGAUUAGAUACCCCUGUAGUCCCUGUCUCUUAUAC